This 497-nucleotide long non-coding RNA is filed under the name Brassica napus (rape). RNAcentral describes it as "long non-coding RNA (BNAP_LNC027159)". Lineage: Eukaryota; Viridiplantae; Streptophyta; Magnoliopsida; Brassicales; Brassicaceae. The record is from RNAcentral.
UGUUGAAAUCAUAUACCCUAUAAUCCCAUGCCUACUAUAUAGCUUUCACCAACCUUAACACAAAGGAUAAAACAAUCAAAACCAAAAGGCAGCCUGAAGAGGGAGAGAUUCGAGUGAUCUUUUCAGAGGAUAAACAAAAAGACUCUGUCAGACAGUGCAGAAUGUGCUGGCUACACUAAGAAAGAAAGAGACCACAUAAAAAGAAACCAACUCACAGGUAAUGAUAUAAUUCCAAACCGCAGAGGAACCAACCACAGAUAUUGGCAAGCAUAACAUCUAACCAAUCAGUCAUGGUCUCUCACUCCCAACAUUCCACAUGCCAGUACCUUUUUUAUUUCCUCGUUUUAUCUUUACAAAACUCGAUAUAACCCAACAAACAAAAGUUACAUAAGAUAGAUAGAACAUCAGUGUGAAAGGUUCAACCUUUUUUUUAACUUUCAUCGUUUAAACAUGGGAAUAACACUUUCAUCUCUCAUUAAUCAAAUUAAGGAUCAUAU